CGAGCUAGCUAAGCAGUCGCGUGAAACAUCCGUUUCUCGAGGAAAGUCCGGGCUCCGCAGGGCAGGGUGCCAGAUAACGUCUGGGGGGCGCAAGCCUACGGAAAGUGCCACAGAAAAUAUACCGCCUGGCGAUUGUUGGGUAAGGGUGAAAUGGUGCGGUAAGAGCGCACCGCGCUGCUGGCAACAGCAGUGGCAGGGUAAACCCCACUCGGAGCAAGACCGAAUAGGAAUCUAUCAGGCGCGGCCCGCGCUAGAUUCGGGUAGGUUGCUUGAGCGCACGGGCGACUGUGCGCCUAGAUAAAUGACUGCUCACGACAGAACCCGGCUUAUCGGCUAGCUCUUUAA
RNAcentral lists this RNase P RNA (345 nucleotides) under Gammaproteobacteria bacterium CG11_big_fil_rev_8_21_14_0_20_46_22. Its description in RNAcentral is "RNase P RNA component class A". It matches the Rfam family "Bacterial RNase P class A". From Rfam's summary of the family: Ribonuclease P (RNase P) is a ubiquitous endoribonuclease, found in archaea, bacteria and eukarya as well as chloroplasts and mitochondria. Lineage: Bacteria; Pseudomonadati; Pseudomonadota; Gammaproteobacteria. RNAcentral also lists the same sequence under 1 other name. The record is from RNAcentral.